GCUUACGGCCAUACCACCCUGAACACGCCCGAUCGUCAGAAAGCUAAGCAGGGUCGGGCCUGGUUAGUACUUGGAUGGGAGACCGCCUGGGAAUACCAGGUGCUGUAAGCU
This 111-nucleotide ribosomal RNA is filed under the name Labrus bergylta (ballan wrasse). The record is from RNAcentral. Lineage: Eukaryota; Metazoa; Chordata; Actinopteri; Labriformes; Labridae.